Molecule: RNA transcript, 673 nt
Organism: Octodon degus (degu)
Lineage: Eukaryota; Metazoa; Chordata; Mammalia; Rodentia; Octodontidae
Gene name: zinc finger MYND domain-containing protein 19 pseudogene
Exons: 2
Source: RefSeq, a predicted model, not a curated record
AUGCCGAAGGAAAUUCUGUUAAAGCAGUUCCCUGAGGAACUAAGACAAAAAUAUUUCAGGCUGCAGCUCUCGCAGCUCCCCACAGACCCCAUAGAAGAGCAGUUUCCUGUUUUGAACGUGACCCGGUACUAUAAUGCCAAUGGGGAUGUGGUGGAAGAGGAGGAGAAUUCCUGCACCUACUAUGAAUGCCACUACCCACCCUGCACGGCCAUCGAGAAGCAGCUCCGGGAGGUCAACAUCUGCGGGCGCUGCCAGGUGGCCCGGUACUGCGGCUCCCAGUGCCAGCAGAAGGACUGGCCUGCCCACAAGAAGCACUGUCGGGAGAGGAAGCGUCCCUUCCAGCAUGAGCUCGAGGCAGAACGAUGACGGGCAGUGGAGCUGCCACGCUGCAGGCUCAUGGCUUCCGGCUCUUCCGUGGACACAGCGGAGACUGGCAGUUCAGUCUGGAGGUGCUGAGGAAGCCAGUGUCUGGUCCAGAACAGCCACCAUGAAGCUCCCUAUGGCACACAAAGUCUGUGGGGACGGCGCCCCUCCAGUGUUAAAUCUCCAGCGGAGACAAGGGGAGAUCCCCCAGGACGUUUCUCAUUAUUUAUAUGUUAAUAUGUUUGUAAACUCAUGUACAGUUUUUUUUUUGGGGGGGAGACAAGGGGAUGGUUAGAAACCACAAAUAGAA